CCCCACUCCUUAAAAAGAAAUAUCCCCCCGGUUCAUUCCCUAAUUUCACUGCCCUCAUCACAAUCGGCUUCUCCGCUCUUGAGAUCGCCGGCUCUGUUGCUCACCUCUUAACGUUAACGGUUCCGUGCAUUACCUCCACCCUCGUGGUUCCUGCGAUCUCAAUAAGUUCGCUGACCUUUGCUCUCCAACGAAACCUUGGGGCCAAUGGUUAUAGCUAAUGGUGGAUUUAGGGUAAGUGCGGAUUCUUGGGGACUCAAACAUUAAGCGUACAAGGUACAAGGUUUGUUCCUUCAUCAACCCCGUCCCAGCCAACUCUUUUCUAUCAGCAAACACAAAAACAAGCUCAGAUUCAGAGACGUGCUACUCAACCAUCAGUCCACAGCGUUAAACUGCCAUUCAAGAAACCAAUAAACAAAAGCACGAGUGCUUCCAAUCAUUUUGAAGCCCCUAGACCAACUAGAGAUUUUUCCAAAUUGAUAAAUGAGAUAAUGAAAGGUCUAGAUGAAGCAUCUGUAGCAAUAAAGAACAAGAAAGAUGGUGCGUGACCAAGCAAACAAGGAUGGUUUGUAAAGAGCAAUCUGAAACUUUAUUUUGAUAAAUUAUAUAUGGAUUUGGGAAUCAAAACGGAGUGAAGUUGAUCCGAUUUUAUGAACUUGAUACAUGUUUGUCAUUUGAUAUGUAUUUCACUAGUGAACUAGAUGGAUGCUUAUGGAAUGCAUAUGUUAACUUGUUAUAUAGUGUGAAUGGAUUUCAAUUUUUGUCGAAAGUUAUAUGAAUGAAGGGAAUGAAGUAUGUUAGUGAUGAU
Molecule: long non-coding RNA, 805 nt
Organism: Asparagus officinalis (garden asparagus)
Lineage: Eukaryota; Viridiplantae; Streptophyta; Magnoliopsida; Asparagales; Asparagaceae
Exons: 2
Source: RefSeq, a predicted model, not a curated record